This 117-nucleotide non-coding RNA is filed under the name Tsukamurella pulmonis. RNAcentral's name for it is "SAM-IV sequence". It matches the Rfam family "SAM (S-adenosyl methionine) riboswitch aptamer". From Rfam's summary of the family: SAM-IV is a mRNA element that regulates gene expression via direct sensing of S-adenosylmethionine (SAM or AdoMet). The record is from RNAcentral. Lineage: Bacteria; Bacillati; Actinomycetota; Actinomycetes; Mycobacteriales; Tsukamurellaceae.
GGUCAUGAGUGUCAGCGCGCAGCCCCGGCUUGCUGACCGGCAACCCUCCACCGCGGUGGGGUGCCCCGGGUGAUGACCUGGUUUCCCGGCCUCAGGGCCGGGUGGCAAGCGCGAGGA